GCGGUAUUGGUGAAGUUUGGUUAACACACCGGUUUGUGGGUCCGGCACGCGUGGGUUCGAAUCCCACAUACCGGUCCC
Molecule: transfer RNA, 78 nt
Filed under: Limosilactobacillus reuteri
Lineage: Bacteria; Bacillati; Bacillota; Bacilli; Lactobacillales; Lactobacillaceae
Description: Lactobacillus reuteri tRNA-His
Rfam family: tRNA
About the family: Transfer RNA (tRNA) molecules are approximately 80 nucleotides in length. Their secondary structure includes four short double-helical elements and three loops (D, anti-codon, and T loops).
Source: RNAcentral